Thalassophryne amazonica is the source of this 83-nucleotide long non-coding RNA. RefSeq lists it as uncharacterized. The record is from RefSeq and is a predicted model, not a curated record. NCBI's taxonomy places the organism in Eukaryota, Metazoa, Chordata, Actinopteri, Batrachoidiformes, Batrachoididae. The transcript has 3 exons.
GGUCAGUGUGACAGAUGCCAGCAGGAGUCGCUGUGCAAUAGUAGUCAAUGGGCCUCACUCCCCUGACAGCCAAAAGGUGCACU